AACAUAGAAGUAAUAUAUUUACAUUUAGCUUCGACCUAAAAUUAGAGAAAUCUCCAAUGUUU
This 62-nucleotide transfer RNA is filed under the name Batracomorphus curvatus. RNAcentral's name for it is "tRNA-Arg". Lineage: Eukaryota; Metazoa; Arthropoda; Insecta; Hemiptera; Cicadellidae. The record is from RNAcentral.